GCUUUUUGGACCUUCCGCCGCUCCUCCUAUACAAAGAAAGAGUCUAGUUGCCAUUUCAAAACCCUCAUCCCUCUAAAACCCUUAUCCUCUCCCAUCUCUCUCUUUCUUUCUUCUAUUGAAUCACCAUGGCUUCUGCAACCACAUCUCUAAUCAAGCCUCUAUCAAUGGCCACAUCUCUUUCAACACACUUAACAACUAAAACCACAUCUUACCCAUCUAUCUCUUUCCCUUCCAAAUCUGUUAAAGUUUCUCAACUUUCUACUUCAUUUUCAUCAUGGGUUCCUCUUAAAAACAAGAUUUCUUCAUUGGUAACUUUUGUUGCUUCAGAUUUUUCUCAAGUAACUGAAGAAGAUGGUGAUGAAAUUGAGACCCCUGGUGGAGAUGGGGGGUUUGUAGAGGAGGAAAGUAGUGAAGAGACUUAUGCUGAACCUUCUGAAGAUGCUAAACUCUUUGUUGGGAACUUACCUUACGAUAUUGACAGUGAGAAAUUAGCUAAUCUUUUUGACCAAGCUGGUGUUGUUGAGGUUGCUGAGGUUAUUUACAACAGGGAAACUGAUGAGAGCCGAGGGUUUGCGUUCGUCACGAUGAGCAGCGUUGAAGAAGCUGAGAAAGCUGUUGAGAUGUUCAACCGUUAUGAUAUAAAUGGCAGAACUUUAAAUGUAAACAAGGCUUCUCCUAAAGGUUCUCGUCCAGAGAGAACCCCUCGAUCAUUCGAGUCGUCUUCUUCUCUUAGACUGUAUGUUGGAAAUCUUUUGUGGCAAGUGGACGAUGCUCGCCUGGAGCAGGUGUUCAGUGAACAUGGUAAAGUGAUGGAUGCAAAGGUUGUUAUGGAUCGGGAAACUGGCCGCUCACGCGGGUUCGGCUUUGUAACGAUGUCAGCACAGUCGGAGUUGGAUGAUGCUAUUGCUGCUCUUGAUGGACAGAGUUUGGACGGAAGGAUGGUUAGAGUUAAUGUUGCUGAGCAGAGACCUCCAAGGCGCAACUUUUAAAUUCAACAGAUGAUUUUCGGUGACCCUUUUGUCUGUCUCCUGAAUCCAGAUUCCUUAUGGUGGUAGUUACAAGCUAGCUCAGAGUUUCAAGCCUAGGUUGAAACUCACUGACAAGCCACUCUUCAUGUGCGGUGUUGUUGUCACCUUUGGAACAACUUUUUGGCCACCAGCAACCUUGACUGCUGGUUACCUUAGCAAGAUUUUAAGCAUCCACUGUUGAGAAUUAGGUUUUAUACCUGUGGGUGUUCAUGUACGAGCAAGAAUAACUGUGCUAGUUCUGAAGUUCCCUUGGGACACUAGGAUAAAUGAUCAAUUCUGUACCCUGAUUUGAUUUGUGUAGAAUAGCCACGAAGUAGAAUAAAAGCACGAGCAGA
This is an RNA transcript of Papaver somniferum (opium poppy), 1363 nucleotides long. It is a transcript of the gene named 28 kDa ribonucleoprotein, chloroplastic-like, with no coding region annotated. NCBI's taxonomy places the organism in Eukaryota, Viridiplantae, Streptophyta, Magnoliopsida, Ranunculales, Papaveraceae. The transcript has 6 exons. The record is from RefSeq and is a predicted model, not a curated record.